AGAGUUUGAUCCUGGCUCAGAUUGAACGCUGGCGGCAUGCCUUACACAUGCAAGUCGAACGGCAGCACGGGAGCAAUCCUGGUGGCGAGUGGCGAACGGGUGAGUAAUAUAUCGGAACGUGCCCAGUCGUGGGGGAUAACGUAGCGAAAGCUACGCUAAUACCGCAUACGAUCUAAGGAUGAAAGCGGGGGAUCGCAAGACCUCGCGCGAUUGGAGCGGCCGAUAUCAGAUUAGCUAGUUGGUGGGGUAAAGGCCCACCAAGGCGACGAUCUGUAGCUGGUCUGAGAGGACGACCAGCCACACUGGAACUGAGACACGGUCCAGACUCCUACGGGAGGCAGCAGUGGGGAAUUUUGGACAAUGGGCGCAAGCCUGAUCCAGCAAUGCCGCGUGCAGGACGAAGGCCUUCGGGUUGUAAACUGCUUUUGUACGGAACGAAAA
Molecule: ribosomal RNA, 441 nt
Filed under: uncultured bacterium
Lineage: Bacteria
Description: bacterial SSU rRNA
Rfam family: Bacterial small subunit ribosomal RNA
Source: RNAcentral